This 254-nucleotide ribosomal RNA is filed under the name uncultured bacterium. RNAcentral describes it as "partial 16S ribosomal RNA". It matches the Rfam family "Bacterial small subunit ribosomal RNA", at positions 524 to 776 of the family's 1533-position model. The record is from RNAcentral.
UACGUAGGGUGCAAGCGUUAAUCGGAAUUACUGGGCGUAAAGCGUGCGCAGGCGGUUAUGUAAGACAGAUGUGAAAUGCCCGGGCUUAACCUGGGAACUGCAUUUGUGACUGCAUGGCUAGAGUUUGGCAGAGGGGGGUAGAAUUCCACGUGUAGCAGUGAAAUGCGUAGAUAUGUGGAGGAACACCGAUGGCGAAGGCAGCCCCCCUGGGUCAAGACUGACGCUCAUGCACGAAAGCGUGGGGAGCAAACAGG